GACUGACUGUCUGUGUCUCCCCAAAUGCCUAGAUUGAGUCCUUAUGCCCAGUGUGGAGACAGGGCUGUCCUUACAAGAGGCACUGAGAGAAAUGAUCGUGUGUCCACUGUGCAAGAAUACGGUAGAGACAGCUCUUUUCAAACUUGGACGAGCACCUCACCAGGCCCGAGGAUCUUGCAAGCAACUCGAUCUUGUGUGUUUUGAGGCGCUGCUCCACUUGAUCCAGAUGAUCAGAAGUACUCAGUGCUGUAAAUUUCCUCUAAGCACUACUUUUAUUGAAUCCCACAAAUUUUGGGCCUUGCUAAGUUCUCCAGGCUGGCCUCCAACUCUUGAU
This is a non-coding RNA of Marmota flaviventris (yellow-bellied marmot), 334 nucleotides long. Lineage: Eukaryota; Metazoa; Chordata; Mammalia; Rodentia; Sciuridae. The record is from RefSeq and is a predicted model, not a curated record.